CAGAUUCCAAGAGCCUUUCUGCAUCGCCAGGACAUGUCUGUCCUUGAGCUUUACGUCUGGGAUGCGUCCGAAUGCAUGCAUCGCUCAUGGUGAUGGCGUCCGAACACAUGGGAUUGACUCGAAGUCGUGUCCGUGUCAGUUUCCGCGGACAGUGAAGGUUAACGCCCAGUUUUUUGUAUGUGCGUGUUUUUUUCCUGUGAUUUACA
Molecule: long non-coding RNA, 206 nt
Organism: Penaeus monodon (black tiger shrimp)
Lineage: Eukaryota; Metazoa; Arthropoda; Malacostraca; Decapoda; Penaeidae
Exons: 2
Source: RefSeq, a predicted model, not a curated record